GACGAACGCUGGCGGCGUGCUUAACACAUGCAAGUCGAGCGGCGCAGCGAAAGGGUGAGUAACGCGUGAGUAACUGCCCCCCUCUCUGGGAUACCAGUUGGAAACGGCUGCUCAUACCGGCUAGUGGUGGAUGACUCGGGUGCUAUCGGCUGGUUGGUGGGGUAUGGGCCUACCAAGGCGACGACGGGUAGCCGGCCUGGGCGGGGGACCGGCCACAUGGGGCUGAGGGACGCACCAAACGCCGACGGGAGGCAACGGUGGGGAGUAUGGCCGAGUGGGGCAGACCCUGAUGCAGCAACGCCGGGUGCGUGAUGUCGGGUUUCGGGUUGUAAACCGCUUUGAGACAUGACGCGGUAGUGGCAGAAGAAGCACCGGCUAACUACGUGCCAGCAGCCGCGGUAAUAC
This 405-nucleotide ribosomal RNA is filed under the name uncultured bacterium. RNAcentral describes it as "partial 16S ribosomal RNA". It matches the Rfam family "Bacterial small subunit ribosomal RNA", at positions 28 to 526 of the family's 1533-position model. The record is from RNAcentral.